RNAcentral lists this ribosomal RNA (886 nucleotides) under uncultured Clostridium sp. Its description in RNAcentral is "bacterial SSU rRNA". It matches the Rfam family "Bacterial small subunit ribosomal RNA", at positions 8 to 916 of the family's 1533-position model. Lineage: Bacteria; Bacillati; Bacillota; Clostridia; Eubacteriales; Clostridiaceae. The record is from RNAcentral.
AGAGUUUGAUCAUGGCUCAGGACGAACGCUGGCGGCGUGCUUAACACAUGCAAGUCGAGCGAGAAACCUUCGGGUUUCUAGCGGCGGACGGGUGAGUAACACGUGGGUAACCUACCUCAAAGAGGGGAAUAGCCUCCCGAAAGGGAGAUUAAUACCGCAUAAUAUCAUAGCUUCGCAUGAAGCAAUGAUUAAAGGAGUAAUCCGCUUUGAGAUGGACCCGCGGCGCAUUAGCUAGUUGGAGAGGUAACGGCUCACCAAGGCAACGAUGCGUAGCCGACCUGAGAGGGUGAUCGGCCACAUUGGAACUGAGACACGGUCCAGACUCCUACGGGAGGCAGCAGUGGGGAAUAUUGCACAAUGGGCGAAAGCCUGAUGCAGCAACGCCGCGUGAGUGAUGACGGUCUUCGGAUUGUAAAGCUCUGUCUUUUGGGACGAUAAUGACGGUACCAAAGGAGGAAGCCACGGCUAACUACGUGCCAGCAGCCGCGGUAAUACGUAGGUGGCAAGCGUUGUCCGGAUUUACUGGGCGUAAAGGAUGUGUAGGCGGACAUUUAAGUGAGAUGUGAAAGCCCCGAGCUCAACUUGGGGACUGCAUUUCAAACUGGGUGUCUAGAGUGCAGGAGAGGAAAGCGGAAUUCCUAGUGUAGCGGUGAAAUGCGUAGAGAUUAGGAAGAACAUCAGUGGCGAAGGCGGCUUUCUGGACUGUAACUGACGCUGAGGCAUGAAAGCGUGGGGAGCAAACAGGAUUAGAUACCCUGGUAGUCCACGCCGUAAACGAUGAGUACUAGGUGUAGGAGGUAUCGACUCCUUCUGUGCCGCAGUUAACACAAUAAGUACUCCGCCUGGGAAGUACGGUCGCAAGAUUAAAACUUAAAGGAAUUGACGG